This 444-nucleotide ribosomal RNA is filed under the name uncultured bacterium. RNAcentral's name for it is "bacterial SSU rRNA". It matches the Rfam family "Bacterial small subunit ribosomal RNA", at positions 355 to 792 of the family's 1533-position model. The record is from RNAcentral.
UUAGGAAUAUUCGUCAAUGGGGGAAACCCUGAACGAGCAAUGCCGCGUGAGUGAUGACGGUCUUAUAGAUUGUAAAACUCUGUUGUAAAGGAAGAACCCUUAUUAUAGGUAAUGAUAAUAAGCUGACGGUACUUUACCAGAAAGCCCCGGCUAACCACGUGCCAGCAGCCGCGGUAAUACGUAGGGGCGAGCGUUAUCCGAAUUUAUUGGGCGUAAAGCGUGUGUAGGCGGUUUAUUAAGUCUAAGAUUAAAGCCUGGGGCUUAACCCCAGUUCGUUUUAGAAACUGGUAGACUUGAGUGUGGUAGAGGCAAGUGGAAUUUCUAGUGUAGCGGUUAAAUGCGUAGAUAUUAGAAGGAACACCAGUGGCGAAGGCGGCUUGCUGGGCAGCAACUGACGGUGAGGCGCGAAAGUGUGGGGAGCAAACAGGAUUAGAUACCCUGGUA